GCUCGCGUAGCUCAGCCGGAUGAGCGUUGGUCUUCUAAACCAAGGGACGCAGGUUCGAUUCCUGCCGCGAGCG
RNAcentral lists this transfer RNA (73 nucleotides) under Nannocystis exedens. It matches the Rfam family "tRNA". From Rfam's summary of the family: Transfer RNA (tRNA) molecules are approximately 80 nucleotides in length. The record is from Rfam by way of RNAcentral. Lineage: Bacteria; Pseudomonadati; Myxococcota; Nannocystales; Nannocystaceae.